Molecule: ribosomal RNA, 492 nt
Filed under: uncultured bacterium
Lineage: Bacteria
Description: partial 16S ribosomal RNA
Rfam family: Bacterial small subunit ribosomal RNA
Source: RNAcentral
AGUGGACGCUGGCGGUAGGCCUAACACAUGCAAGUCGAACGGCAGCACAGUAAGAGCUUGCUCUUACGGGUGGCGAGUGGCGGACGGGUGAGGAAUACAUCGGAAUCUACUUUUUCGUGGGGGAUAACGUAGGGAAACUUACGCUAAUACCGCAUACGACCUACGGGUGAAAGCAGGGGAUCUUCGGACCUUGCGCGAUUGAAUGAGCCGAUGUCGGAUUAGCUAGUUGGCGGGGUAAAGGCCCUCCAAGGCGACGAUCCGUAGCUGGUCUGAGAGGAUGAUCAGCCACACUGGAACUGAGACACGGUCCAGACUCCUACGGGAGGCAGCAGUGGGGAAUAUUGGACAAUGGGCGCAAGCCUGAUCCAGCCAUACCGCGUGGGUGAAGAAGGCCUUCGGGUUGUAAAGCCCUUUUGUUGGGAAAGAAAAGCAGCAGGUUAAUACCCCGCUGUUCUGACGGUACCCAAAGAAUAAGCACCGGCUAACUUCGUG